CUAUGUUUGCAGGAUUUCACUUCUUCCCAAUCUCUGGCCGAAGCUUGGUCUCUCCGCGAUUUUAUCUGCCUGCUUUAGGGACCCUGCUGAAUAUUUCCAUCGAACUUCGCGCAAAGGAUUCGCUCAUUGACGACCUUGCUGAAGGCAACAAAACCGACUGCAUAGAAGAGUUUGAAAAGUAUGUACCUACAUUGAAGAAAAAAAUCUAUACAAAAUAUUGUCGCUCAUAGUGCUCAAUAAAAGAAAAAUGUUGCAGUGAC
Molecule: long non-coding RNA, 260 nt
Organism: Dermacentor silvarum
Lineage: Eukaryota; Metazoa; Arthropoda; Arachnida; Ixodida; Ixodidae
Exons: 2
Source: RefSeq, a predicted model, not a curated record